AUCUGGAGGAAUACCGGUGGCGAAGGCGGCCCCCUGGACAAAGACUGACGCUCAGGUGCGAAAGCGUGGGGAGCAAACAGGAUUAGAUACCCUGGUAGUCCACGCCGUAAACGAUGUCUACUUGGAGGUUGUGCCCUUGAGGCGUGGCUUCCGGAGCUAACGCGUUAAGUAGACCGCCUGGGGAGUACGGCCGCAAGGUUAAAACUCAAAUGAAUUGACGGGGGCCCGCACAAGCGGUGGAGCAUGUGGUUUAAUUCGAUGCAACGCGAAGAACCUUACCUGGUCUUGACAUCCACAGAACUUUCCAGAGAUGGAUUGGUGCCUUCGGGAACUGUGAGACAGGUGCUGCAUGGCUGUCGUCAGCUCGUGUUGUGAAAUGUUGGGUUAAGUCCCGCAACGAGCGCAAC
RNAcentral lists this ribosomal RNA (407 nucleotides) under Salmonella enterica. Its description in RNAcentral is "bacterial SSU rRNA". It matches the Rfam family "Bacterial small subunit ribosomal RNA", at positions 696 to 1102 of the family's 1533-position model. Lineage: Bacteria; Pseudomonadati; Pseudomonadota; Gammaproteobacteria; Enterobacterales; Enterobacteriaceae. The record is from RNAcentral. RNAcentral also lists the same sequence under 1 other name.